UUUAAGGUGGUAGACCUAGGUUAAGGGAAAUAACUCUUAAAAUCAUCAGUACGUUUGUGUCAACCAUUUUCAAAAACAUAUUCUAAGCUUCUAGGUUACAUAGAUUAUUUUCAAUCUGUUUCAGGUAAAUGCUUAAAAUACAAUGGUUAACUUGACUUUUACAAACGCUUGACUGAUUUAAAGAGUUAUCUCCCUUAACCUAGGUCUACCUCCUUAA
RNAcentral lists this long non-coding RNA (217 nucleotides) under Mytilus galloprovincialis (Mediterranean mussel). Lineage: Eukaryota; Metazoa; Mollusca; Bivalvia; Mytilida; Mytilidae. The record is from RNAcentral.